UAGGGAAUAUUGGGCAAUGGAGGAAACUCUGACCCAGCAACGCCGCGUGAAGGAUGAAGGUCUUCGGAUUGUAAACUUCUGUUAUGAGAGAAAAAUAAAUGAUGGUAUCUCAUGAGUAAGCCCCGGCUAACUAUGUGCCAGCAGCCGCGGUAAGACAUAGGGGGCAAGCGUUGUCCGGAAUAACUGGGCGUAAAGGGAGUGUAGGCGGUUAUGCAAGUUGAUGGUGAAAGCCCGGGGCUCAACCCCGGAAUUGCCCUCAAAACUGUAUGACUAGAGUGUGGGAGAGGAAGAUGGAAUUCCAAGUGUAGCGGUAGAAUGCGUAGAUAUUUGGAGGAACAUCAGUGGCGAAGGCGAUCUUCUGGAACAUAACUGACGCUGAAAUUCGAAAGCGUGGGGAGCAAACAGG
This 406-nucleotide ribosomal RNA is filed under the name uncultured bacterium. RNAcentral describes it as "bacterial SSU rRNA". It matches the Rfam family "Bacterial small subunit ribosomal RNA", at positions 355 to 776 of the family's 1533-position model. The record is from RNAcentral.